UGGGGAUAAACCCGGGAAACUGGGUAUAAUACCAGAUAGAUCUCGAUUGCUGGAAUGCAUCGAGCUUGAAAGCUCCGGCGCUCAAGGAUGGGUCUGCGGCCUAUCAGGUAGUAGUGGGUGUAGCGUACCUACUAGCCUACGACGGGUACGGGUUGUGAGAGCAAGAGCCCGGAGAUGGAUUCUGAGACACGAAUCCAGGCCCUACGGGGUGCAGCAGGCGCGAAAACUUUACAAUGCUGGAAACAGCGAUAAGGGGACCUCGAGUGCCAGGUUACAAAUCUGGCUGUCGUGAUGCCUAAAAAGCAUUGCAUAGCAAGGGCCGGGCAAGACCGGUGCCAGCCGCCGCGGUAACACCGGCGGCUCGAGUGGUAACCGUUAUUAUUGGGUCUAAAGGGUCUGUAGCCGGCCGGAUAAGUCUCUUGGGAAAUCUGACAGCUUAACUGUCAGGCUUUCAGGAGAUACUGUCUGGCUCGAGGCCGGGAGAGGUGAGAGGUACUUCAGGGGUAGGGGUGAAAUCUUGUAAUCCUUGAAGGACCACCAGUGGCGAAGGCGUCUCACCAGAACGGACCUGACGGCAAGGGACGAAAGCUAGGGGCACGAACCGGAUUAGAUACCCGGGUAGUCCUAGCCGUAAACGAUACUCGCUAGGUGUCGGCCACGGUGCGACCGUUGUCGGUGCCGUAGGGAAGCCGUGAAGCGAGCCACGUGGGAAGUACGGCCGCAAGGCUGAAACUUAA
Molecule: ribosomal RNA, 737 nt
Filed under: unidentified archaeon
Lineage: Archaea
Description: bacterial SSU rRNA
Rfam family: Archaeal small subunit ribosomal RNA
Source: RNAcentral